This 253-nucleotide ribosomal RNA is filed under the name uncultured bacterium. RNAcentral describes it as "partial 16S ribosomal RNA". It matches the Rfam family "Bacterial small subunit ribosomal RNA", at positions 524 to 776 of the family's 1533-position model. The record is from RNAcentral.
UACGAAGGGGGCUAGCGUUGUUCGGAAUCACUGGGCGUAAAGCGCACGUAGGCGGACUUUCAAGUCAGGGGUGAAAUCCCGGGGCUCAACCUCGGAAUUGCCUUUGAUACUGUAGGUCUCGAGUCCGGAAGAGGUGGGUGGAAUUCCUAGUGUAGAGGUGAAAUUCGUAGAUAUUAGGAAGAACACCGGUGGCGAAGGCGGCCCACUGGUCCGGUACUGACGCUGAGGUGCGAAAGCGUGGGGAGCAAACGGG